RNAcentral lists this unclassified non-coding RNA (874 nucleotides) under Hevea brasiliensis (rubber tree). Lineage: Eukaryota; Viridiplantae; Streptophyta; Magnoliopsida; Malpighiales; Euphorbiaceae. The record is from RNAcentral.
CAGGAAUGGGAAUAGAGUGGGACAAGGUGAUGGAAGGGUGUUUUCGGAGGAUGGAUGAGGAAGUAGAGAAAGAUAAGAUGAUGGGGUCCACGGCUGUGGUGGCGGGGGGCGGGAAAAGAUGAGGUGGUUGUGGCCAAUUGUGGGGAUUCCAGAGCUGUGCUUUGUAGGGCUGGUGUAGCUGUGCCAUUGUCCGUUGAUCAUAAGCCUGACAGACCCGAUGAAUUGGAGAGAGUUGAAGCUGCUGGAGGAAGAAUUAUCAACUGGAACGGACACCGUGUUCUAGGAGUUCUUGCUACUUCCAGAUCUAUAGGUGAUCGGUAUCUUAAACCGUUUAUAAUAUGCAAACCUGAAGUCACCGUGAAUAAACGAACUAAAAAUGAUGAAUUCUUGAUAUUAGCCAGUGAUGGGUUGUGGGAUGUCAUUUCCAACGAAGUUGCAUGCCAGAUUGUGAGGAGAUGUUUAAGAGGGCGGAUGAGAAGGAAAUACCAAGAAGUCUUGAGUGAAGGUCGUGCAGCUGAGGCAGCAGCAGUGCUAGUGGAGCUAGCAAUUGCUCGGGGUAGCAAAGAUAACAUUAGUGUGGUAGUGGUUGAGCUGAAUAAACUUGGUAUUUCUUAUUAGAUACCUCAUCUCUGGUACCAUUAGCAAGUCUUGAAACUUACCAUCAUGAUCUUGGAAGCGAAAAAUUGAUGAUUUGGGUGUAGUCAUGAUUCAUGACUUCGUGUAAAUGGUUGAAUUGUAGAAAUUCUUUUCAGUUCUUCGUAUCCUACUUCUAUGAGGGUCAUAACAAGGUUAUGGCCUUUGGUUAAGAUAUGUACGUACUUGUGGUUUUUUCCCCGCUCUCUUACAUAUUUUCAACCAUUUUUACUGGAUAAUU